UGGGGAAUAUUGCACAAUGGGCGAAAGCCUGAUGCAGCGACGCCGCGUGAGGGAUGACGGCCUUCGGGUUGUAAACCUCUUUCAGCAGGGACGAAGCGCAAGUGACGGUACCUGCAGAAGAAGCACCGGCUAACUACGUGCCAGCAGCCGCGGUAAUACGUAGGGUGCAAGCGUUGUCCGGAAUUACUGGGCGUAAAGAGUUCGUAGGCGGUUUGUCGCGUCGUUUGUGAAAACCAGCAGCUCAACUGCUGGCUUGCAGGCGAUAUGGGCAGACUUGAGUACUGCAGGGGAGACUGGAAUUCCUGGUGUAGCGGUGAAAUGCGCAGAUAUCAGGAGGAACACCGGUGGCGAAGGCGGGUCUCUGGGCAGUAACUGACGCUGAGGAACGAAAGCGUGGGUAGCGAACAGG
RNAcentral lists this ribosomal RNA (409 nucleotides) under bacterium. RNAcentral describes it as "partial 16S ribosomal RNA". It matches the Rfam family "Bacterial small subunit ribosomal RNA", at positions 355 to 776 of the family's 1533-position model. The record is from RNAcentral. RNAcentral also lists the same sequence under 1 other name.